RNAcentral lists this long non-coding RNA (4816 nucleotides) under Sus scrofa (pig). Its description in RNAcentral is "lncRNA (ENSSSCG00045021885.1)". The record is from RNAcentral. Lineage: Eukaryota; Metazoa; Chordata; Mammalia; Artiodactyla; Suidae.
UUCUGCAGAAGCUGAGCGGUGCUGGCUCAGAGCAGCCAGGGCUUAUCCAAGGAAGAACCCCUCCACGCAGCCUCCACGCCCCUCUCUGAAGAGUGACCCAUACCUCGUCACCCACUGGCUUCAAGAUCGCCACUGACCCCCCGCCUUUUCCUGCAAGGAGCACCGCAGCCUGCAGGGUCAGCUCCAUCCUCCGGAGUCCUCCGGAUGCAGCCCGGCCUGAAGUCCUUCCUGAACACCUGUCGUCAGGACCCUCCCUGCCCCUCUAGGCUCCAAGGCGCUGAGGAUCACGAGAGUGCCUGUCUGUCCAGUGGUGUCCCCCUGCCACAGCUGUCGCCCACCCACCUUCAAGCAGAACAGAGCAGAGGGUCGAGUCUCUGUCGCAUCAGCUUUAGAUUCCCGCCUCCCUGUCCUGGGCCGCUCGCCACACCUUCGUCCUGGAGGUUCCCGCCAGCUUGUUCACAAACCGAAGGCCUCGGGUUUCUCUCCCCAGACUGUCCCAGCGUCCCCUUCAGAGAGGAGGCUGGCAUCUGAAGUCCCCUGUCCCAGUUGGAAUUAGCCGCUUCGCCCCAGAAUCUAGCUUGCUCCCCUGGGUCUGUCACGAAUAGGGACCCGGCCGAAAUGUGUCAUCAUGCAAGACAGUCCUUCCUGGAACUCAAUCUGAGUGGCUUUUUGCAAAAACAGGAGACGAGCAGACAACAUCUUUCCCAACCUUGAUAACCACGUCAAGACGGGGCUCAGGCACUCCUGACCCUCCCCCAAUUAAAUAACCUCAAUUCCUUUCCUCAAAAGGAUCACCUGGAGCUCCCGUGGUGGCUCGGUAGUAACGAACCCAACUAGUAUCCCUGGCCUUGCUCAGUGGGUUAAGGAUCCAGUGUUGCCGUGAGCUGUGGUGUUGGUGGCAGAUGUGGCUCAGAUCUGGCUGAGUCUGAGCUGCAGCUUCAAUUCAACCCCUAGCCUGGGAACUUCCAUACACCAUGGAGCAGAGGCGCAGGGGUGAGACAUCCUGGAGGCCAGCUGGGAGGAGGCCUGUGCUUCCAGGAUGGGGCCCGGAGAGCAAGUCUUCAGUGCAGGUGGCCUGCUUCUCUCAGUCAACCAUGGGGACUGCUUAGAGGCUUGGAGCAGGGGAACAGCAGGGUCCCCGUUUUGACCCUGGGAUAUAAUGGCUCUGGCCUCAGUUGUAAUUGGGUCCGCGCUGUGUCCUUACGUAGCCAAAUGCCACCCUCCACGCCAAACUGUCACUCUUGUCUCAUUCCACCUUGCCCUCACCACAGGUCUGUGGCAUCACCUUUCUGAUGCACACAGACAACAGUCAACGGAGGGGUGACUUUUCUAGCAACUGUGCAUAUUGUGUUUUUGCUUGGUUGCAGCAUGACAGUGGAAUCUCUCAUAAUCAGCUUCAACUGGUUCCAAGCCAGGGGACCCCCGGGCACUUGCCCAGGAUGGUUGGAGUUCACGCCGGCUUAUGCUGCUGUUCUUGCUGGUGAAUGGUGUCCCCCGCUUCUCUCACAAAUGUCCUGCUUUGGAAAAUAAGUCAUAUGGUUACCUGACACUUUAUGUUUGGAAAAUUGAGGCUGGGGGCUGCUGUACUCUGUGCAUUUAUCCCCCAGGGGGCCCUGUCCAUGGGCUUUUUGGAGGAGAGCAGAGACUGGACCCCGAGUUUUUUAUUGCUUAGCCUUGCAAAUGCUGGAUGGGGUGGCCACGGGGUGCAAAUUUCCCCUUUGCUCAAGAAUUGGACAAAACCCCAAGAAUACAAAGAGCUAUGUGCCCCCAAAUUCCUGGGAAGCCUCCAACAACUGGGGCGGACUUGGAGGCAGCAUAACCCCUCGGUGACUCUCCAGCACCCCUGCACCCUUACUGCCAGCCUAGGGGAGAGCAGGGAGGGGCAGGUCAGCCCUGGGGGGCCCGAGCUCCCAGUGAGAGGCUCCCCCUCUCCUCCGGCCUCCAAGAGCAUCUCUGCUGAGGCCAGGGGUGCCUGGCCGAGCUCAAACCCCACUCCCAGGGCAGAUGUCUGCUCAGGACGCAGGGAGACGGGAGUGGCUGAGACCUUUGUCUUCAACUGUAAUUUCAAAAACAGGGCAAAGUGACCUUCGGGGCUCCUUUCUGGCAAUAGCAGAUUGUGGGCCCAUGAACAUGACAGAUGCCAUGUCCAGGCCUCAUAAAGUAACAAGCCCCUGCACCAGGAUCCCAGGCAGUGUCCACACGGCUCCAACUGGGACUUUCACCUGCCGCCUCUGGCUACUUUUCUUCCCCAACCAGAUGCUCAUUAAUCCAGUCAGGUGUGCUUGGCUGGAAGCCCAGGGGACUGAGGCACCAACUGAUGGGUCUUUCGCUGGAACUGCUGAAGGGCACGCAGCACCUUUUCUUCCAAAGUCCGUCCGGCCUGGUCCCCAGUGGGUUUAUUGACACCUGGCUUUAAGCUUUGGUGGCAAACCGUCUCCUCGGAGUGCGCCUUCAGGACACAGAGGCUUCGGAUGCUGACGUGGAGACCUGAGUGCACAGGGGACAGGGGAGGCUGCCAAGGGGGCGGCAGCUCAUCCUGGCAGUUCUCUCCCCGGCCCGGGGCUCUCAUACCUGGCCGGCAUCAGAAGCCCCUGGGGGGCUUGCAGGAGCACACCUCCCCGGGGCUUCUGAUUCACCGGCCUGGAUGAGGUCUGAGAAUCUUCACCCUUGACCGUCCCAGUGGCACUGAUAUCAUGGUCCACGCUCGGAGAGCCUCUACCCUGGUGUCCUAGUGGGGGCAGGGCCGUCUGCCCCCUGGACAUGGCCCCACCUGCCAGGCCCGGUCUGUGAUGAAAGCUCCCCUGGCGGGGCCGCCGCAGGGGCUGCAAAGCUCAAAGGAUUCGACCAGGAGGCAGCCCAGCCUGGUGCUUGUGGCUCUGAAGGGGAGACUCUGGGGAGAGGGGGCCCAGGUGGGCCAGGGGAGAUUUUAGCAGAAGUGACAUUUGAGAUUGGGGACAAAGAAGGACCAGGCCACGAAAGGAGGAUGAAGGGAGCCCCCGAGAGCAGGAUGGACAGAAGCAAACCCCCACCCCGAACGGGAGAGAACUCUGUGGAGCAGCAAGCAGGUCGGUCAGGAGUGCUGUGACAGGAGCAGGGGUGACAGCUCAGGCGGGACAGCAGGUCGGUCACAACCUGCCAGGACCUGCAGGACCGUCAGAAUCUGGACAUCAUCCUGAAGGCAGGGCAGCUGGGAAGGGGCAGAGGCGUGGGCUAAUAUCCGAUCCUGGGCCCCAGGGGGCUGUGACUUCCCAGAGGGAACAGCCCUUGGAGGGGCCCGGGCUGGGGAUCAGGGAACAGAACUGAGGCGGGAAGUGGGGGUGGGGGGAGGCGGGCUGGCUUAAAUGACAAACAUUGAUUUCUCACAGUUCUGGAGGCAGGAAGUCCAGGAUCACGCCAUUGGUGGAUUCAGUGCCCGGUGAGAGCCCUCUGCCCCUGGCAGGGUGGCAGCCGGCUCCUCACGUAGGGCAGGGGGUAGGAGCAAGCUGUCUGGUGUCUCUUCUUAGGAGGACCCUGGUCCCAUCAGGGUGGCCCCUCCCUCACCGCCCCAUCUAAUCCCUGUCACCUACCAGAGGCCACCUGCAAACACCCACACACGGGGGUUAGGGCUUCAACACAUGAAUUUGGAGGAGACACCAUCAUUCGGCCCGCGGCAGGGGGGUGGGACAAAAUUCCAAGCUGGCGUUCACCUAAGUUUCCGAAGGGCUUUACAUGGGAGGGAAAAAAACAAAAAAACAGCGCUAUCUAAGAAAACUGGGGCCGUCUUUGAGAAGUUCUGUGCUGCCUUUGCUCUAUUCUGGUAAACUGCGGGUCACCUCUAAAUACAGUUUUCUUCCCAGAAGCAGACUCAACAGAGGCACUGUCGGUUAAAAAUUAAACAGCAAAACGCAACUCAGACCAUGUGAAGGUCUUUUUUUAAAAAGUAAUCGCAGAAAGCAUCUGGUCUCGUGCCCUGAAGGUCGAGAUCCAUUCGGAAAAGGUCACAGUCUGGGCUCAGCGGUGGGUGUCUCGUAGUCUAGCUUUCCCCCUCCCCAGGGUUCCUCGAGCAGCAAACCUCUUCCAGGACACACGGGGGCCUCUUCACCCCGUUCCCUCGAUCUGGGGGGAUCUAGAGUCAUUAGUCUCUUGUUUUAAAAGGCGAACCAGGGACUGCCCAUCGCGUCUCAGUGGGUUACAAACCCGAGCAGCGUCCACAAGGAUGUGGGUUCCAUCCCUGGCCUCGUUCAGUGGGUUAAGGAUCUGGUGUUGCCACAGGCUGUGGCGUAGGUUGAGGAUGCAGCUCGGAUCCCACGUGGCUGUGGCUGUGGCAUAGGCUGCCGAUGCAGCCUCGAUUUUACCCUUAGCCUGGAACAUCUAUAUGAAAAAAAAAAAAAAAGAAGAAGAAGAAAAGAAAAGCAAAAAAAAUAAAAGCAUAAAAGGAGAAUCAGGGAAUAGCCUUUGAUGUAGAGAGUGUUUUCACUGCAGCCAACAGACGCAUCUUCAUUCCUUCUCGUGCCUCGUGCCACACCGUUGUUGUUUGAAGGGUCCAGGGGUACAAAGGGUAAACCAGGCUCUGCUCCCCAGGAGCUUAUGAUGUGAGAACAUUCCGGGGGUAUUCAGCGGAGUUCAAAGAACCAGAACAGGUGAGAGGACAAUGAUGGCCUGAAAGCCACCAUACCCACCUGCCCCAGGGAUAAACCCCGAGCCCAAGGGACAGCCUGAACUUUCCGAAAAACCUCUCCAGGCUAACCUCUAGUUUUCCCAGAUUCUUUGCAGCACAGAGUCAAGACAUUCAAAUAAAACAAAACAUACCAAAAAAAAAAAAAAAAAAAAAAAAAAA